GACGGAGCGACGCCGCGUGUGGGAUGAAGUCCUUCGGGAUGUAAACCACUGUCAGGGGAAAGAAAGUUCUGAUCUACCCCAGAGGAAGGCACGGCUAACUCUGUGCCAGCAGCCGCGGUAAGACAGAGGUGCCGAGCGUUAGGCAGAAUCACUGGGCUUAAAGCGUGUGUAGGCGGGCCUGCAAGUACCUUGUGAAAUCCCACGGCUCAACUGUGGAACUGCUUGGUAUACUGCCGGUCUUGAGGCAUCUAGAGGCAACUGGAACAAACGGUGGAGCGGUGAAAUGCGUAGAUAUCGUUUGGAACGCCUAAGGUGAAAACAGGUUGCUGGGGAUGUUCUGACGCUGAGACACGAAAGCCAGGGGAGCGAACGGGAUUAGAUACCCCGGUAGUCCUGGCCCUAAACGAUGUCCACUAGAUCGCAGCAGCUCUGACGUUGUUGUGGUCGUAGCAAAAGUGCUAAGUGGACCGCCUGGGAAGUACGGUCGCAAGGCUA
RNAcentral lists this ribosomal RNA (495 nucleotides) under uncultured bacterium. RNAcentral describes it as "bacterial SSU rRNA". It matches the Rfam family "Bacterial small subunit ribosomal RNA", at positions 385 to 896 of the family's 1533-position model. The record is from RNAcentral.